This 253-nucleotide ribosomal RNA is filed under the name uncultured bacterium. Its description in RNAcentral is "partial 16S ribosomal RNA". It matches the Rfam family "Bacterial small subunit ribosomal RNA", at positions 524 to 776 of the family's 1533-position model. The record is from RNAcentral.
UACGUAGGGUCCGAGCGUUGUCCGGAAUUAUUGGGCGUAAAGGGCUCGUAGGUGGUUUGUCGCGUCGGGAGUGAAAUCCCUGGGCUUAACCCAGGGUCUGCUUUCGAUACGGGCAGACUAGAGGCAUUCAGGGGAGAACGGAAUUCCUGGUGUAGCGGUGAAAUGCGCAGAUAUCAGGAGGAACACCGGUGGCGAAGGCGGUUCUCUGGGAAUGUUCUGACGCUGAGGAGCGAAAGUGUGGGGAGCGAACAGG